GGAAAAUGCUUGUUUUAAUUGCCU
RNAcentral lists this non-coding RNA (24 nucleotides) under Rattus norvegicus (Norway rat). The record is from RNAcentral. Lineage: Eukaryota; Metazoa; Chordata; Mammalia; Rodentia; Muridae.